GAGAUCUAAGCAGCUGCCCUCUUGUGCCGUUCAGUGAACUAAAGUUGCAGUCGGUAAUCCAUCUCUUAUGGUAAAAGGGCCCGAACAGCAGCUAAGACCCACCCUGUAUAUGGUGAUGCCUCUGUUGAUGAAUCUAUUGCGGAAUUUAAUUAUGAAAAUAAUGAAGACACUGAAAUCAUAAACGUAACGGAUUGUAAAGGGAAAAAUACCAAAAUAUCAAAUUCAGCAUCAAGACUCAAUAAUGUAUUGAAAGAAAAACAUGACUUAAUUGCAAAAAAAUCUGUUCAAGAACAGUUAUCAAUUUGCGAAAAAGAGAAUUAUCCAUCAAUAU
This is a long non-coding RNA of Vollenhovia emeryi, 331 nucleotides long. RefSeq lists it as uncharacterized. Lineage: Eukaryota; Metazoa; Arthropoda; Insecta; Hymenoptera; Formicidae. The record is from RefSeq and is a predicted model, not a curated record. The transcript has 3 exons.